Long non-coding RNA from Leopardus geoffroyi (Geoffroy's cat), 313 nucleotides. RefSeq lists it as uncharacterized. NCBI's taxonomy places the organism in Eukaryota, Metazoa, Chordata, Mammalia, Carnivora, Felidae. The transcript has 2 exons. The record is from RefSeq and is a predicted model, not a curated record.
GGCUUGCCCUCAUCUCCCCACCCCCUUAACUGGCCUCGUGCAAACAACGACUUAAGUCUCAAAACCUGAGUACAAUUCGCCUCCUCCUGGAAGCAUCCUCUGUGCCUAACUCGGUCCCGCAGGAACCGUGAACCUCUGCCUGUGUUCCUUGCCUGUUGUAUCUCCGUCCGUUACAGUUCUUUCCAGGAGUCAACAGACACUGGCCCGCGGACCAAAUCUGCUCUGCCAACUGAUGUGGACAUCUAGACACAGAGAGAGCGUAAGUAUAUGGCCAACUAAUCUUUGACAAAGCAGGACAGAACAUCCAAUGGAA